RNAcentral lists this ribosomal RNA (450 nucleotides) under uncultured Glomus. Its description in RNAcentral is "SSU rRNA". It matches the Rfam family "Eukaryotic small subunit ribosomal RNA", at positions 569 to 1024 of the family's 1831-position model. The record is from RNAcentral. Lineage: Eukaryota; Fungi; Glomeromycota; Glomeromycetes; Glomerales; Glomeraceae.
AGCAGCCGCGGUAAUUCCAGCUCCAAUAGCGUAUAUUAAAGUUGUUGCAGUUAAAAAGCUCGUAGUUGAAUUUCGGGGUUAGUAGGUUGGUCAUGCCUCCGGUAUGUACUGGUCUCACUGAUUCCUCCUUCCUGAUGAACCGUGAUGCCAUUAAUUUGGUGUUGCGGGGAAUUUGGACUGUUACUUUGAAAAAUUAGAGUGUUUAAAGCAAGCUAACGCUUGAAUACAUUAGCAUGGAAUAAUGAAAUAGGACGUUCGAUCAUAUUUUGUUGGUUUCUAGGAUUGACGUAAUGAUUAAUAGGGAUAGUUGGGGGCAUUAGUAUUCAAUUGUCAGAGGUGAAAUUCUUGGAUUUAUUGAAGACUAACUACUGCGAAAGCAUUUGCCAAGGAUGUUUUCAUUAAUCAAGAACGAAAGUUAGGGGAUCGAAGACGAUCAGAUACCGUCGUAGU